GAUGAACGCUGGCGGCGUGCCUAAUACAUGCAAGUCGGGCGAACGGACGAGAAGCUUGCUUUUCUGAUGUUAGCGGCGGACGGGUGAGUAACACGUGGAUAACCUACCUAUAAGACUGGGAUAACUUCGGGAAACCGGAGCUAAUACCGGAUAAUAUUUUGAACCGCAUGGUUCAAAAGUGAAAGACGGUCUUGCUGUCACUUAUAGAUGGAUCCGCGCUGCAUUAGCUAGUUGGUAAGGUAACGGCUUACCAAGGCAACGAUGCAUAGCCGACCUGAGAGGGGGAUCGGCCACACUGGAACUGGGACACGGUCCAGACUCCUACGGGAGGCAGCAGUAGGGAAUCUUCCGCAAUGGGCGAAAGCCUGACGGAGCAACGCCGCGUGAGUGAUGGAGGUCUUCGGAUCGUAAAACUCUGUUAUUAGGGAAGAACAUAUGUGUAAGUAACUGUGCACAUCUUGACGGUACCUAAUCAGAAAGCCACGGCUAACUACGUG
Molecule: ribosomal RNA, 497 nt
Filed under: uncultured bacterium
Lineage: Bacteria
Description: partial 16S ribosomal RNA
Rfam family: Bacterial small subunit ribosomal RNA
Source: RNAcentral